RNAcentral lists this ribosomal RNA (492 nucleotides) under uncultured bacterium. RNAcentral describes it as "partial 16S ribosomal RNA". It matches the Rfam family "Bacterial small subunit ribosomal RNA", at positions 29 to 507 of the family's 1533-position model. The record is from RNAcentral.
AGUGAACGCUGGCGGUAGGCCUAACACAUGCCAGUCGAACGGAAGCACAGUAAGAGCUUGCUCUUACGGGUGGCGAGUGGCGGACGGGUGAGGAAUACAUCGGAAUCUACUUUUUCGUGGGGGAUAACGUAGGGAAACUUACGCUAAUACCGCAUAUGACCUACGGGUGGAAGCAGUGGAUCUUGGGACCUUGCGCGAUUGAAUGAGCCGAUGUCGGAUUAGCUAGUUGGCGGGGUAAAGGCCCACCAAGGCGACGAUCCGUAGCUGGUCUGAGAGGAUGAUCGGCCACACUGGAACUGAGACACGGUCCAGACUCCUACGGGAGGCAGCAGUGGGGAAUAUUGGACAAUGGGCGCAAGCCUGAUCCAGCCAUACCGCGUGGGUGAAGAAGGCCUUCGGGUUGUAAAGCUCUUUUGUUGGGAAAGAAAAGCUGCAGGUUAAUACCUCGCUGUUCUGACGGUACCCAAAGAAUAAGCCCCGGCUAACUUCGUG